This 329-nucleotide ribosomal RNA is filed under the name uncultured bacterium. RNAcentral's name for it is "bacterial SSU rRNA". It matches the Rfam family "Bacterial small subunit ribosomal RNA", at positions 32 to 339 of the family's 1533-position model. The record is from RNAcentral.
AAUCAACGCUGGCGGCGUGCCUCAGACAUGCAAGUCGAACGCGAAAUUUCCCUUCGGGGAGAAAGUCGAGUGGCGCACGGGUGAGUAACACGUAGGUAAUUUGCCUUUGGGUGGGGAAUAACUCAGGGAAACUUGAGCUAAUACCGCAUAAUGCAGCGGCUCGACAUCGAGACAGUUGUUAAAGCGGGGGAGUCGCAAGACCUCGCGCCUGAAGAGAAGCCUGCGGCAGAUUAGCUAGUUGGUAAGGUAAUGGCUUACCAAGGCGACGAUCUGUAACCGGCCUGAGAGGGCGGUCGGUCACACUGACACUGACAUACGGGUCAGACUCC